Molecule: ribosomal RNA, 467 nt
Filed under: uncultured bacterium
Lineage: Bacteria
Description: partial 16S ribosomal RNA
Rfam family: Bacterial small subunit ribosomal RNA
Source: RNAcentral
GACGAACGCUGGCGGCGUGCUUAACACAUGCAAGUCGAACGGAAAGGCCCUGCUUUUGUGGGGUGCUCGAGUGGCGAACGGGUGAGUAACACGUGAGUAACCUGCCCUUGACUUUGGGAUAACUUCAGGAAACUGGGGCUAAUACCGGAUAGGAGCUCCUGCUGCAUGGUGGGGGUUGGAAAGUUUCGGCGGUUGGGGAUGGACUCGCGGCUUAUCAGCUUGUUGGUGGGGUAGUGGCUUACCAAGGCUUUGACGGGUAGCCGGCCUGAGAGGGUGACCGGCCACAUUGGGACUGAGAUACGGCCCAGACUCCUACGGGAGGCAGCAGUGGGGAAUAUUGCACAAUGGGCGGAAGCCUGAUGCAGCAACGCCGCGUGCGGGAUGAGGCCUUCGGGUUGUAAACCGCUUUCGCCUGUGACGAAGCGUGAGUGACGGUAAUGGGUAAAGAAGCACCGGCUAACUACGUG